UACAGGGGGUGCAAACGUUGCUCGGAAUCAUUGGGCGUAAAGCGCACGUAGGCGGUUCGUUAUGUCGGAUGUGAAAGCCCUUGGCUUAACCGAGGAAGUGCAUCCGAAACUGGCGAGCUAGAGUACUAAAGAGGAUCGCGGAAUUCCCGGUGUAGAGGUGAAAUUCGUAGAUAUCGGGGGGAACACCGGUGGCGAAGGCGGCGAUCUGGGUAGAUACUGACGCUGAGGUGCGAAAGCGUGGGGAGCAAACAGGG
This 254-nucleotide ribosomal RNA is filed under the name uncultured bacterium. Its description in RNAcentral is "partial 16S ribosomal RNA". It matches the Rfam family "Bacterial small subunit ribosomal RNA", at positions 524 to 777 of the family's 1533-position model. The record is from RNAcentral.